Long non-coding RNA from Scylla paramamosain (green mud crab), 849 nucleotides. RefSeq lists it as uncharacterized. The record is from RefSeq and is a predicted model, not a curated record. Lineage: Eukaryota; Metazoa; Arthropoda; Malacostraca; Decapoda; Portunidae. The transcript is spliced from 2 exons.
GAAUGGGAACCUGUUUAGUAGUGGUGGUAGUGGUGAUAGUAUAAUAAUAAUAGUAAUAAUAAUGAUAAUAAUGAUAAUGAUGAUAAUAAAUAAUAAUAAUAAAUAAUAAUAAUAAUAAUAAUAACUGUAGUACUGGUAGCAGACGUGGUAUCGGUAAUAACAACAACAACAACAACAACAACAACCAAAACAACAACUAAGUUUUAAAAAAAGGCAAGAACAAAAACUAAAAAGAAAAAAAAAACAAGAAAAAAACGAAGACCAAGGAAAAAAAAAGAAGCAAGAACAACAACAAGACUAAAAAAAAAAAGAAUAAGAAGAACAAGAAAACAAGACAAAGAAUCACAAUAAACUACAGGGUGAAUGCGUGGCCGGUGACAGUGUGGGUUGCCUGCUUCACCACAAAGACGCCGCCUACUGUCGCUGCCUCACGCUACUUUCACGGGAUCACUUAUACACACGUCUGCGUCUCACACUUGUUAUGAAUGGCAAGUGAAGCCGCUCGAGGUGAAAGGACGAGCAGAGAGAGGUUUGUUUUCGUCUCUCCCAUAAAUGUGAGUAAAGAAAAUUCAGAUAGUGAUUAAUUUAAGUUCUGAAUUUAAUCUGAUCUAUUUUUUUUUUUUUUUUUUUAUGAGGAGGAAAGUAAUGGUAAGUGUUAGAAGUAUGAAAAAGACAAGUGAAGUAAUUAUAAAAAGUAACGAAGAGGAGAAAGAAGUCAGUUUGUCUUUCCUAUAAAGAAGAGUAAGAAAAUCCAAAUACUAAGAUUAAUUUGUGUUUUGAACUUAUUUAUAUUUAUUUAUCAUGUAUAAGUAAUUAAAUAUUAGUCUAAGAAGCACAAAAAAAAGUAAA